AUUGAACGCUGGCGGCAGGCCUAACACAUGCAAGUCGGACGGUAGCACAGAGAGCUUGCUCUCGGGUGACGAGUGGCGGACGGGUGAGUAAUGUCUGGGGAUCUGCCCGAUAGAGGGGGAUAACCACUGGAAACGGUGGCUAAUACCGCAUAACGUCGCAAGACCAAAGAGGGGGACCUUCGGGCCUCUCACUAUCGGCGGAACCAAGAUGGGAUUAGCUAGUAGGCGGGGUAACGGCCCACCUAGGCGACGAUCCCUAGCUGGUCUGAGAGGAUGACCAGCCACACUGGAACUGAGACACGGUCCAGACUCCUACGGGAGGCAGCAGUGGGGAAUAUUGCACAAUGGGCGCAAGCCUGAUGCAGCCAUGCCGCGUGUAUGAAGAAGGCCUUCGGGUUGUAAAGUACUUUCAGCGGGGAGGAAGGCGAUGUGGUUAAUAACCGCAUUGAUUGACGUUACCCGCAGAAGAAGCACCGGCUAACUCCGUGCCAGCCGCCGCAGUAA
Molecule: ribosomal RNA, 504 nt
Filed under: uncultured bacterium
Lineage: Bacteria
Description: partial 16S ribosomal RNA
Rfam family: Bacterial small subunit ribosomal RNA
Source: RNAcentral